AUUAUACCUUUGUCGCUUUGGCAGACCCGGCUUCGGCCCACCGGCUCCGGCUGGUCAGUGUCUGCCAGAGGACCUAAAACUCCGUCGUUAAUAUUCGUCUGAGUAUAUAUAAUAGUUAAAACUUUCAACAACGGAUCUCUCGGUUCUGGCAUCGAUGAAGAACGCAGCGAAAUGCGAUAAGUAAUGUGAAUCGCAGAAUGCAGUGAAUCAUCGAAUCUUUGAACGCACAUUGCGCUCGCCAGUAUUCUGGCGAGCAUGCCUGUUCGAGCGUCAUUUCAACCAUCAAGCUCUGCUUGCGUUGGGGAUCCGCGUCUGACGCGGUCCCUCAAAAACAGUGGCGGGCUCGCUAGUCACACCGAGCGUAGUAACUCUACAUCGCUAUGGUCGUGCGGCGGGUUCUUGCCGUAAAACCCCCAAUUUCUAAGGUUGACCUCGGAUCAGGUAGGAAUACCCGCUGAACUUAAGCAUAUCAAUAAGCGGAGGA
Molecule: ribosomal RNA, 484 nt
Filed under: uncultured Sordariales
Lineage: Eukaryota; Fungi; Ascomycota; Sordariomycetes; Sordariales
Description: eukaryotic LSU rRNA
Rfam family: 5.8S ribosomal RNA (bases 120-273)
Source: RNAcentral